RNAcentral lists this ribosomal RNA (318 nucleotides) under Brachionus plicatilis. RNAcentral describes it as "partial 16S ribosomal RNA". The stretch from base 89 to 318 matches the Rfam family "Bacterial large subunit ribosomal RNA", at positions 2046 to 2543 of the family's 2925-position model. Lineage: Eukaryota; Metazoa; Rotifera; Eurotatoria; Ploima; Brachionidae. The record is from RNAcentral.
GGUCCCGUGAUUCUUGUGUUCUUAAUUAGAAAUCUGUUCAAAGAAUGAUAUGGAGAGAAUCUAUUGUUUUCAUACAAAGUGAAUUUAAAAUGUUAGUGAAAAUUCUGACAUCCUCUUAAAAGACGAGAAGACCCCAUAAAACUUAAUUUGAUCUAAUUAUCCUUUGGUUUAAAAUUUAAAUGGGGACUUUAGAGUAUUCUAAUAACUUAAAGACCUAUAUUUAUAUUCUUUGAGAAGCUACUUUGGGGAUAACAGGGUAAAAUAUUUAGAGAGUCCUUAUCGAUAAAUAUGCCUACUACCUCGAUGUUGGAUUAUCGG